GCCCUUUCGUCAAAGUGGUUAAGGUUUCGGAAGAUCAAUUCGAAGCUUAGGCAUGAAAUGGAAUAGCCCACUUUUUUCAAGGAUCUUUUAUUGAUAAAAUCUUAUUCAAAUGAUUGAUGUGACCUUUGUAAUGAGAAAUAUGUCAAAUCUUGUCGAGCAUUGAUUGUAGGGUUGUUUCCUUCUUCAAGGGAAUAUGAGCCGGAACACAUGCCCCAAAAGUGUGUUAUUGUGUUGAACAGACUUAGCUUGGCAAGACAUAAAAAUAGGUCAUUCCAAUCACCUCCAGUGCCUAGAAAUAGGCCUCAACUACCACCUCCCUUUGCGAGU
This 327-nucleotide long non-coding RNA is filed under the name Olea europaea (common olive). RNAcentral describes it as "long non-coding RNA (OEUR_LNC006686)". The record is from RNAcentral. Lineage: Eukaryota; Viridiplantae; Streptophyta; Magnoliopsida; Lamiales; Oleaceae.